This 274-nucleotide ribosomal RNA is filed under the name uncultured bacterium. RNAcentral's name for it is "partial 16S ribosomal RNA". It matches the Rfam family "Bacterial small subunit ribosomal RNA", at positions 523 to 796 of the family's 1533-position model. The record is from RNAcentral.
AUACGGAGGGUGCAAGCGUUACUCGGAAUCACUGGGCGUAAAGCGCGCGCUGGCGGCUAUUUAAGUUGGAUGUGAAAGCCUAUGGCUCAACCAUAGAACUGCAUCCAAAACUAUUUAGCUAGAGUGUGGGAUAGGAAGAUGGAAUUAGUUGUGUAGGGGUAAAAUCCGUAGAGAUAACUAGGAAUACCAAAAGCGAAGGCAAUCUUCUGGAACACUACUGACGCUGAGACGCGAAAGCGAGGGGAGCGAACAGGAUUAGAAACCCUAGUAGUCC